Molecule: transfer RNA, 67 nt
Filed under: Marmota monax (woodchuck)
Lineage: Eukaryota; Metazoa; Chordata; Mammalia; Rodentia; Sciuridae
Description: tRNA.Ala
Source: RNAcentral
GGUAGUGGCUCAGCGGUAGAGCGCUGGUCCAGCAUGUUCGAGGCCCUGGGUUCUAUCCUCAGCACCA